GCGUAGUCGAUGGGAAACAGGUUAAUAUUCCUGUACUUGGUGUUACUGCGAAGGGGGGACGGAGAAGGCUAUGUUGGCCGGGCGACGGUUGUCCCGGUUUAAGCGUGUAGGCUGGUUUUCCAGGCAAAUCCGGAAAAUCAAGGCUGAGGCGUGAUGACGAGGCACUACGGUGCUGAAGCAACAAAUGCCCUGCUUCCAGGAAAAGCCUCUAAGCAUCAGGUAACAUCAAAUCGUACCCCAAACCGACACAGGUGGUCAGGUAGAGAAUACCAAGGCGCUUGAGAGAACUCGGGUGAAGGAACUAGGCAAAAUGGUGCCGUAACUUCGGGAGAAGG
RNAcentral lists this ribosomal RNA (335 nucleotides) under Escherichia coli. RNAcentral describes it as "partial 23S ribosomal RNA". It matches the Rfam family "Bacterial large subunit ribosomal RNA", at positions 1409 to 1746 of the family's 2925-position model. The record is from RNAcentral. Lineage: Bacteria; Pseudomonadati; Pseudomonadota; Gammaproteobacteria; Enterobacterales; Enterobacteriaceae.